Molecule: ribosomal RNA, 1203 nt
Filed under: Triticum aestivum (bread wheat)
Lineage: Eukaryota; Viridiplantae; Streptophyta; Magnoliopsida; Poales; Poaceae
Description: partial small subunit ribosomal RNA
Source: RNAcentral
AUGUUCCAACUCCGAGCGCGUGACCUCUCUUUCCUCGUCCACUCACCACCCUGUCUCCCCGCUCCCCGCGUCUCUCCCCUCUUCGCCCUUCGCCGCAACCUCUCCGCCACCACAUCCGCUUCACCAGGCCCUUUCGCCGCCGAGGACUACCUGGUCGCCACCUGCGGCGUUCCCCGCGCGCAAGCCGUCAAGGCAGCGAAGAAGAUAUCCCACCUGAAGUCCUCCUCGAAGCCCGACGCGGUCGUCGCCUUCCUCUCCGGCCUCGGCGUCCCCCGCUCCGACAUCGCCGCCAUCGUCGCCGUCGACCCGUGGUUCCUCUGCGCCAGCGUGGAGAGGACCCUGGCGCCCCGAGUCACCGAGCUGAGGGAGCUCGGCCUCUCGCGCUCCGAGGUCGCGCGCCUCAUCCCGCUCGCCCUGUGCUCCUUCCGCAGCAGCUCCCUCAGGGGCAACCUCGACUUCUGGCUCUCGGUCUUCGGCUCCUACGAGAAGCUCCUCAAGGCCCUCAAGAUGAACUCCGGCCUCCUCGCCGCCGACCUCGAGAAGGUGGCCAAGCCGAAUCUGGCCCUCCUCCAGCAAUGCGGGCUAAGUCCCUCUGUCUUCUCGGAGCCCUUCAUUUCCCGGGUGCUCAUCAGGACCCCCAAGAAAGUCCAGGACGCUUUGGUGCACAUUGACAAGUUUGGGGUGUCGCAGAACUCGCGGAUGUUCCUCUACGCGCUUGUGGCGUUCACUGUGCAGAGUCCGGAGAAGCUCACCGACAAAAUCGGAGUCCUGGAGACGCUUGGUUGGUCGCAGGGUGAUGUGCUGCUAGCUGUGAAGACGAUGCCGGGUAUCCUGACCAUAUCCGAGGAGAGGCUGCAGAAAAAUGUGCAUUUCCUCACAAAGGUUGCUGGGCUGGAGAUAUCUUACAUUGCUCAAAGACCGGUGCUGCUCAAGUAUAGCCUUGAGCGCCGUUUGUUUCCUAGUUUCUUGGCAGGUUCGUGCAUCCUUACAAGGAGAGGCUUCCAGGCCUUGCUGAUGUUUAUGCUUCAAGCUGUGCUGGGAAACUACACAUGGAGUUGCUAUCAGAGAACACAAAACAAAACUAGAGAAUCUACCUUACCUGUCCUGGGUGAGUACCAUAGGAUGGAAAAUGUUAAGGUUUGUCAUCCCCCUUGGUCCAUUGCUCAAGUUCUGUGCAGUUUUUCUGGAAGUGAUCCUCUAUAG